GAGACUCCCGAAGGGCAAAAAGGAAUAUACCCAAACAACAAUGAAAACCGAAUAGGCAAAACACAUGAUAUACUUCACACAGUACACAAUCCACAAUACAGUAAACAAAUAAAAACUGUUUUCAAAGCACUCCAGAUCAUAUAAAGAACCUCACAUAGAACUAAACUGCUACUUGUGAAUCAUUAAGUAAACCAGUAGGUCCUUCUUAGCUGGAAGCCACAGGCUGAGUACUGAACACCUUAGCAAUCUUCUCUGUAGGUACCAAUGGAAGAUAUGAAGCAACCUUGUAUCCCUUCUCUGCUGUUUGCUGAACCAUCACAUUGUAUUUCUCGGAAUAGUAAGCAGCUGUUGGAACAACCGCUUGAGUAACUUUAGGAACAAUGGGAAAUUUGUUGAGAGAGAGCCAAGCUGAUGCAGCAUACUGCUCGGCCAUUGGCUCGUAUUUGGUGUAAAGUCCCUUAGCGGUGGGCUCAUACUUGGCAUAGACUGUUUUAGCAAGUCCU
This 503-nucleotide unclassified non-coding RNA is filed under the name Hevea brasiliensis (rubber tree). Lineage: Eukaryota; Viridiplantae; Streptophyta; Magnoliopsida; Malpighiales; Euphorbiaceae. The record is from RNAcentral.